Molecule: non-coding RNA, 1719 nt
Organism: Parasteatoda tepidariorum (common house spider)
Lineage: Eukaryota; Metazoa; Arthropoda; Arachnida; Araneae; Theridiidae
Source: RefSeq, a predicted model, not a curated record
AAAUGCUUGCUGUCAGCCCGAUCUCCCGUGUUCUCCACCAUGUUCGAUCAAGAUAUGUUGGAAACUCAGACUGGCGUAGUUGAUAUUCCAGAUGCAGAAAGUGAUACUCUGCAAUCAUUUUUAGAGUUUCUGUAUACUGACACGAUAACCGUUACCGAUUGCGAGGAAAUUUUGAAACUGACGUUAGUGGCAGAUAAAUAUCAAGUUGACGAACUGAAAGAACGAUGUUCACAAAUACUGACUACAAAAUUGAGCGUGGAAAACAUUUGCCAUGUAAUUUCUGUUGCUGAAAUGGUAAAUCAUCCGGAACUAAAACUGUCUGCAUUAGAUUUUAUAAGAGUAAAUAAACGAGAAAUAAUUUCAUCCUCUGUUUGGUCAGAUUGGAUGAAAGAGAAUAUGGAAUUGGCUAACGAAAUUUUAAUGAAAAUUAUUGCUGAUUAAAACCAAAACAACUUUUAUGAAAAGAAAGAUUCUUGAAAUUAUGCAAAGGAGCUGGCUUGGAGCAUAUUGUGAAAUUGGCACUAUUUCUGCAAUAUUGAAAUUUUUACUUGUGUAUUUUUCAAAAUGUCCCAAGAAAAUAUUUUUUUUAAUAUUUCUUUGUUGUAUACUUUGUACUCUUAUAACAGAAUUUAGUUUUGAUAUUUAUUUUCUUAUGCUUACUUCAAAAUAUUAAGAAACGGAGUUAUAUUUUUAUGGAGCUAAUUUAAAGUUAUAUUUCUUAUUUCUUUUAUUUGCAAUUUCACCAAAAAUAAAAUGAAUAUACAAGCAAUUUCCAUACAGUAUUUUGUAAUUUAAAUUUAAUUUUAUCUGACGUUAUUAAAGUAUCUAAGUAGCAUAUCUGGUAACUAUAAGUAAUGCAGGUAAAUGUGCGUUUCCAAAAAUAUUUUUUAACAUAAAUCAUUUUCAAGUUUCAUCACAAAUAAAAAGUCUUAAAUCCUUUUUCUAUUGUUAAUUUUGUGUCAUUUAAUGUCACGAUAAAAAAGGUAAAAGAAUUUAAAACUGAGAAAUCUUCAAUUUUGAAAAAAAAAAGUAUUUGUGUAGUUCUAAACCUUUAUGGAAAAAAAAUCACGUCUUUUUAAUAACUCAUUUAAGUAAAUACUAAACAACAGUUUAUUGGCAAAAUUUUUUAAAAAAUUGCUGAUCAUUAUUGUGUAUUACAGCUAAGCCUACAACAAGAUGUCUUAUGGUUUAAUGCAAAGAGCUUCUGACGUUCAUAAUUUAACUUGAUUAAAUUUUGCUUCCUUUUAGUAUUUUCAAUUUCUUUCAAAGUUACCCCAUUUAACUGUUUUCGAAUUAUCCUUUAGGGUUUCAGGUUGUACCCCUUUCAGCUUCUUUAACUAACCCAUUACGACUAAAAAAAAGGUUAUUUAAAACUACUCAUUACAAUUAUUUAAAAAAAUUUACUUUUCAUGCAAAGGGAUUAACAAUUUGGAUUAAAAAAAUGGUUAUGUAAAGAAUGAAUAAUAUUUAUUCACUAUAAAUAUGAUUUUUUAAGAAAACUAUUAAGCUUUUACAAUUAUCCGAUAUUAAAAGAAAACGAAUUAUGUUCUCAAAAUUGUUUUUCUAUGAAAAUUUUAUGUAUUUUCUAACAAUUGUUCUAAAGUACUUUACAUACACUUAACAUAAAGAAUAUGUAGUUAUAUUGUGUUACAUUUUUAAUAAUGUUGUUUCAGCUUUAAUAAUGUUUGUUUCACUUUAAUUAAACGAAUUUAUAAUGUU